GCACCAAAGAGCACAUAUAAUUAGUACAAUACUGGAAGCUUUGGCUAAAAAGAAGGUUAACAUCUACUAUCGGUCAGCUCUGCUGCACCAGAGAAUUACAAACAUGGACAUGAUGAAAUAAGGAACCAUAUAGGCGUAUUACAAGCAUGAGUGUGAAGCAAACAUAUCUUAGUUGUGGGCUCUAACCACUAAAAGGAACAUGAUAAGAGUAUUUGAAAGAGAUUAAAUACUUGAAGCAUCUAUUUUUUGAACCUUGACAUUUUAAUUCUCAGCACAACCUCCAAACCUGUUGUUGCAACAUAAGAUUUGUCUAUGAUCUCAGCUGUAACAAUUCUCUGUUCUGACACAAAAUCUGCAGCAAAACAACAACAAUCAGUUGUAAGUAAGAUGAGAGAGACAUGUGAUCUGCCAAGGGCAUAUGGGGUGAGAGAAGUACUAACGGAGUGGUAGGGAGAUGAACUUCAGGCAGAUGGUUUCUAGGAGAACUGCUGUAGGUGUGGAUUCCUGAAGAAAAACAAAUGGUACAUAAAAAUUCAUGUGCAGCUGUGCAGUGAUUCAGCGCUAGGAGAUUAACUACCUGUAGAUGAAUCCACCAUGAAGCUGGGAUUUGGUAGAGGAGAGAUGGGGCAGCAAGGUAGAUGGAAGCAGGAAGGACAUUAGUGGAAAAUAUAUCAAGUU
RNAcentral lists this long non-coding RNA (678 nucleotides) under Triticum aestivum (bread wheat). RNAcentral describes it as "long non-coding RNA (TAES_LNC019267)". The record is from RNAcentral. Lineage: Eukaryota; Viridiplantae; Streptophyta; Magnoliopsida; Poales; Poaceae.